RNAcentral lists this ribosomal RNA (207 nucleotides) under uncultured bacterium. RNAcentral describes it as "partial 16S ribosomal RNA". It matches the Rfam family "Bacterial small subunit ribosomal RNA", at positions 568 to 774 of the family's 1533-position model. The record is from RNAcentral.
UGCGCAGGCGGGACUGCAAGUUGGAUGUGAAAUUCUGAGGCUCAACCUCAGACCUGCAUCCAAAACUGUGGUUCUUGAGUGGAGCAGAGGUAAGCGGAAUUCCGAGUGUAGCGGUGAAAUGCGUAGAUAUUCGGAGGAACACCAGUGGCGAAGGCGGCUUACUGGGCUCUAACUGACGCUGAGGCACGAAAGCAUGGGUAGCAAACA